This 72-nucleotide transfer RNA is filed under the name Heterocephalus glaber (naked mole-rat). It matches the Rfam family "tRNA". Rfam says of the family: Transfer RNA (tRNA) molecules are approximately 80 nucleotides in length. Their secondary structure includes four short double-helical elements and three loops (D, anti-codon, and T loops). Lineage: Eukaryota; Metazoa; Chordata; Mammalia; Rodentia; Bathyergidae. The record is from Rfam by way of RNAcentral.
UGAGAUGAAGCUCAGUCAUAGAGCCCUUGCCUAGUAUGCAAGAGGCCCUGGGUUCAAUUGCCAGUGUCACAU